UGGGGAAUAUUGCACAAUGGGCGCAAGCCUGAUGCAGCCAUGCCGCGUGUAUGAAGAAGGCCUUCGGGUUGUAAAGUACUUUCAGCGAGGAGGAAGGUGCUGUGGUUAAUAACCGCAGCAAUUGACGUUACUCGCAGAAGAAGCACCGGGCUAACUCCUGCCAGCAGCCGCGGUAAUACGGGGGUGCAAGCGUAUCGGAAUUACUGGGCGUAAAGCGCACGCAGGCGGUCUGUCAAGUCGGAUGUGAAAUCCCCGGGCUCAACUGGGAACUGGCAUCCGAAACUGGCAGGCUAGAGUCUUGUAGA
Molecule: ribosomal RNA, 305 nt
Filed under: uncultured Enterobacteriaceae bacterium
Lineage: Bacteria; Pseudomonadati; Pseudomonadota; Gammaproteobacteria; Enterobacterales; Enterobacteriaceae
Description: bacterial SSU rRNA
Rfam family: Bacterial small subunit ribosomal RNA
Source: RNAcentral